This 1123-nucleotide ribosomal RNA is filed under the name uncultured bacterium. Its description in RNAcentral is "bacterial SSU rRNA". It matches the Rfam family "Bacterial small subunit ribosomal RNA", at positions 8 to 1174 of the family's 1533-position model. The record is from RNAcentral.
AGAGUUUGAUCCUGGCUCAGGAUAAACGCUGGCGGUGUGCUUUAUGCAUGCAAGUCGAACGAGUCACUUCGGUGACUAGUGGCAGACGGGUGAGUAACACGUAAGUAACCUGUCCUUAAGUGGGGAAUAACUCUGAAAAAUCGGAGCUAAUACCGCAUAUGGUUCUUCAUUGCAAGGUGAAGGACUAAAGCCUUCGGGUGCUUGAGGAGGGGCUUGCGUCCGAUUAGCUAGUUGGUGAGGUAACGGCCUACCAAGGCGAUGAUCGGGAGCUGGUUUGAGAGGAUGAUCAGCCACACUGGGACUGAGACACGGCCCAGACUCCUACGGGAGGCAGCAGCAAGGAAUAUUGGGCAAUGGGCGAAAGCCUGACCCAGCGACACCGCGUGGAGGAAGAAGGCCUUCGGGUUGUAAACUCCUUUUCCCGGGGAAGAAUAAUGACGGUACCUGGGGAAUAAGCCUCGGCUAACUACGUGCCAGCAGCCGCGGUAAUACGUAGGAGGCGAGCGUUAUCCGGAUUUACUGGGCGUAAAGAGGGCGUAGGUGGCCUUUCAAGUCGGAUGUGAAAUCUCCCGGCUUAACUGGGAGGGUGCAUUCGAUACUGAUGGGCUAGAGUGCAGCAGAGGGAAGUGGAAUUUCCGGUGUAGUGGUGAAAUGCGUAGAUAUCGGGAAGAACACUAGUGGCGAAGGCGGCUUCCUGGGCUGUUACUGACACUGAGCCCGAAGGCGUGGGUAGCAAACAGGAUUAGAUACCCUGGUAGUCCACGCAGUAAACGAUGGAUACUAGUAUGGGGGGUAUCGACCCCCUCCGUGCCGAAGCUAACGCUUUAAGUAUCCCGCCUGGGGACUACGGUCGCAAGACUAAACUCAAAGGAAUUGGCGGGGGCCCGCACAGGCAGCGGGAGCGUGUGUUUAAUUCGAUGCAACGCGAGAUCCUUACUAGGGCUUGACAUGCGAAGUAGCGACCCGAAAGGUGAGCGACCUGUUAAGUCAGGAGCCGUUCACAGUGCUGCAUGACUGUCGUCAGCUCGGGCCAGUGAGUGUCGGGUUAGUUCCAUACGACGGCAUCCUUGUGCAGUUAACUUCUCUGCGAGACUGGCUGCAAAACGGAGAAAGGCCGGAUGAU